CCUACGGGCGGCAGCAGUGAGGAAUAUUGGUCAAUGGCCGAGAGGCUGAACCAGCCAAGUCGCGUGAGGGAAGACGGCCCUACGGGUUGUAAACCUCUUUUGUCGGGGAGCAAAGCGAACCACGUGUGGUUCAUUGAGGGUACCCGAAGAAAAAGCAUCGGCUAACUCCGUGCCAGCAGCCGCGGUAAUACGGAGGAUGCGAGCGUUAUCCGGAUUUAUUGGGUUUAAAGGGUGCGUAGGCGGAACAUUAAGUCAGCGGUAAAAUCGAGGGGCUCAACCCCUUUAAGCCGUUGAAACUGGUGAUCUUGAGUGGGCGAGAAGUAUGCGGAAUGCGUGGUGUAGCGGUGAAAUGCUUAGAGAUCAUACAGAACACCGAUUGCGAAGGCAGCUUACCAAGCUACUUCUGACGUUGAGGCACGAAAGCGUGGGGAGCAAACAGGAUUAGAUACCCCAGUAGUC
RNAcentral lists this ribosomal RNA (459 nucleotides) under uncultured bacterium. RNAcentral's name for it is "partial 16S ribosomal RNA". It matches the Rfam family "Bacterial small subunit ribosomal RNA", at positions 338 to 795 of the family's 1533-position model. The record is from RNAcentral.